Molecule: long non-coding RNA, 236 nt
Filed under: Homo sapiens (human)
Lineage: Eukaryota; Metazoa; Chordata; Mammalia; Primates; Hominidae
Description: HSALNT0285601
Source: RNAcentral
GAAGGAAACCAGAGAUCUGGUGCUAUUACGUCCCAGCGUCUGAGAGAACGAGUAAGCACAGAAUUCAAAGCAUUCUGCAGCCUGAAUUUUGAAGAGUGUGUUUAGGCACUAAGCAAGCUGAUUUAUGAUAACUGCUUUAAACUUCAACAACCAAGGCAUAAGAACUAGGAGCUGCUGACAUUUCAAUAUGAAGGGCAACUCCACCCUUGCCACUACUAGCAAAAACAUUACCAGCG